GACGAACGCUGGCGGCGUGCUUAACACAUGCAAGUCGAGCGGUAAGGCCCUUUCGGGGGUACACGAGCGGCGAACGGGUGAGUAACACGUGGGUGACCUGCCCUCAGCUCUGGGAUAAGCCUGGGAAACCGGGUCUAAUACUGGAUAUGACUCCAUGACGCAUGUUGUGGGGUGAAAGCCUUGUGCGGCUGAGGAUGGGCCCGCGGCCUAUCAGCUUGUUGGUGGGGUGANGGCCUACCAAGGCGACGACGGGUAGCCGGCCUGAGAGGGCGACCGGCCACACUGGGACUGAGACACGGCCCAGACUCCUACGGGAGGCAGCAGUGGGGAAUCUUGCGCAAUGGGCGAAAGCCUGACGCAGCGACGCCGCGUGAGGGAUGACGGCCUGGUGUAACGU
This 397-nucleotide ribosomal RNA is filed under the name uncultured bacterium. RNAcentral's name for it is "bacterial SSU rRNA". It matches the Rfam family "Bacterial small subunit ribosomal RNA", at positions 28 to 431 of the family's 1533-position model. The record is from RNAcentral.